UGCCAUAUCAAGAGCCUAUGCACGUAUACACACAACAUGCUUGUUAUUCAUAAGAACAACAGCUGACAGAACGCCGAUCGAGACACUUUAAAUACAACUGAACAUAAGCAGUGAAACAUAUCUGAAUUCGGGAGGAGGGAACCGACGAUUGAGGUGCUGAGAAGGCGUUUCGUUUCUCUACGAGAAUACGUCAGUUUGGUUGAACACGUUGCCAGA
This is a long non-coding RNA of Limulus polyphemus (Atlantic horseshoe crab), 216 nucleotides long. RefSeq lists it as uncharacterized. The transcript is spliced from 3 exons. The record is from RefSeq and is a predicted model, not a curated record. NCBI's taxonomy places the organism in Eukaryota, Metazoa, Arthropoda, Merostomata, Xiphosura, Limulidae.